AGCUCAAAUUUGAAAUCUGGCGCAAGCCCGAGUUGUAAUUUGUAGAGGAUGCUUCUGGGUAGCGGCCGGUCUAAGUUCCUUGGAACAGGACGUCAUAGAGGGUGAGAAUCCCGUAUGUGACUGGCUUGCACCCUCCACGUAGCUCCUUCGACGAGUCGAGUUGUUUGGGAAUGCAGCUCUAAAUGGGAGGUAAAUUUCUUCUAAAGCUAAAUACCGGCCAGAGACCGAUAGCGCACAAGUAGAGUGAUCGAAAGAUGAAAAGCACUUUGGAAAGAGAGUUAAAAAGCACGUGAAAUUGUUGAAAGGGAAGCGCCCGCAACCAGACUUUGCGGCAGUGUUCGGCCGGUCUUCUGACCGGUUUACUCGCUGUCGUGAGGCCAUCAUCGUCUGGGACCGCUGGAUAAGACCUUAGGAAUGUAGCUUCCCUCGGGAAGUGUUAUAGCCUCUGGUGAUGCAGCGCGUCUCGGGCGAGGUCCGCGCUUCGGCAAGGAUGAUGGCGUAAUGGUUGUCGGCGGCCCGUCUUGAAACACGGACCAAGGAGUCUAACAUCUAUGCGAGUGUUCGGGUGUCAAACCCCUACGCGUAAUGAAAGUGAACGGAGGUGGGAACUUUUUGUGCACCAUCGACCGAUCCUGAUGUCCUCGGAUGGAUUUGAGUAAGAGCAUAGCUGUUGGGACCCGAAAGAUGGUGAACUAUGCCUGAAUAGGGUGAAGCCAGAGGAAACUCUGGUGGA
RNAcentral lists this ribosomal RNA (733 nucleotides) under Pseudocercospora norchiensis. RNAcentral describes it as "eukaryotic LSU rRNA". It matches the Rfam family "Eukaryotic large subunit ribosomal RNA", at positions 106 to 871 of the family's 3401-position model. Lineage: Eukaryota; Fungi; Ascomycota; Dothideomycetes; Mycosphaerellales; Mycosphaerellaceae. The record is from RNAcentral.